RNAcentral lists this long non-coding RNA (1098 nucleotides) under Canis lupus dingo (dingo). RNAcentral describes it as "lncRNA (ENSCAFG00020021746.1)". The stretch from base 342 to 446 matches the Rfam family "mir-8834 microRNA precursor family". The record is from RNAcentral. Lineage: Eukaryota; Metazoa; Chordata; Mammalia; Carnivora; Canidae.
AUGAGAAAAAGAAAGGAAGAAAAAAAAAAGAAAAAAAAAGAAGAAAAAGAGAAAGGAAAAGAAAGGAAAAAAGGGGGUGGGGAAGGAAACAAAUCAAAAAGCAAAACAAAACAAAACAAAACAACAACCAAAAUAAAAAGAAAGAAAAAAAGAACCACGGGGGAGUAUCUUCUGCUUCUGUGUACGUUAAGUCCCUUGGCUUCCCCUGGACCUUGUCCAUCUAGCUGGUCUUCUGGGGGAGGGGCCUGUUGUGCUGAUUUUCAGGUGUUAGCAGUUGGGGGAGCUGCUGUGCCCCUGCCUGGUGCAGGGCUCAGUGGGGGUUGUUUACCCCGUGAGGCCCCAGGAGCAACAGCCCCAGUGGCGAGGCCAGCUCUGGAAACCUGGAUUCAGCUCAGGCAGGAAUUCCGGAGCUCUCCGUCUGCAGGGCCUGGAGGCUCCGGGGCGGGGCCGCUGAUCUGCUCAGCUCGGGGCAGGAGCGUCCUUGCUGUCCUGGGCCCUCCCGGCCUCUGCCUGUCCCGGGGGAGGCCGGAUCCUGGGCUGUGUCCCGGCGCCCUGUGCUCCGGAGCCUGCGCUGUUGGAUUCGCGCUCCCGGCCCGCAGUCCCCUCCGCGGAGCCGCCCCCGAGCCCCUCCGAGCUGCUCCUGGAACCGCGCAACCCCCUCCGCGGAGCCUCUUCCUCCGCCCGAGCCCCUCCGAGCUGCUCCCGGGGCCGCGCAGCCCCCUCCGCGGAGCCGCCCCCGAGCCCCUUCAGCUGCUCCGGGUCCCGCCGUGCGCGCUGCAGCCCUUAGGGAGCUCGGCGCACUCUCCCGGGGCGCAGUUGCUCUGUUACUGUCCCGGGGAGCCCGAGGGCAUCCCCGCCCUCCUGGGUCCUGCUCCACCUCCCCGCGAGCCCCUUUCCGCCGGGAAGGUCGGUGCAGCUCCUGCUCCUCCGGGACGGGGCUCUCCUGUCCUGGGGACACUCGCCCCGGCCUCAGCCCGGCUCCUCGCGGGGCCCCUCCCCUUGGAGGCCUUUGUUUCUUUACUUCUUUUUCCCCGUCUUCCUACCUUGAUAGAUGCGCGAACUCUUCUCACUGUAGCAUUCCAGGUGUUCUCUCGUUAA